RNAcentral lists this ribosomal RNA (507 nucleotides) under uncultured bacterium. Its description in RNAcentral is "partial 16S ribosomal RNA". It matches the Rfam family "Bacterial small subunit ribosomal RNA", at positions 28 to 523 of the family's 1533-position model. The record is from RNAcentral.
GACGAACGCUGGCGGCGUGCUUAACACAUGCAAGUCGAACGAGAAAGCCCUUCGGGGUAAGUACAGUGGCGAAGGGGUGAGUAACACGUGGGCAACCUGUCCCAGAGAGCGGGACAACCCGGGGAAACCAGGGCCAAUACCGCAUGCUGAGUCACCCUUUAAGUGGAGCCGCCAAAUGGUAACUUCAGCCUCCGCUCUGGGCUGGGCCCGGGCCGGAUUAGCUAGUUGGUUGGGGUAACGGCCCACCAAGGCGACGAUCCGUAGCUGGUCUGAGAGGACGAUCAGCCACACUGGGACUGAGACACGGCCCAGACUCCUACGGGAGGCAGCAGUGGGGAAUCUUGCGCAAUGGGCGAAAGCCUGACGCAGCAACGCCGCGUGGGGGAAGAAGGCCUUCGGGUUGUAAACCUCUUUCAGUAGGGACGAAGCUUCCGGGGUUAAUAGCCUACGGGGUGACGGUACCUACAGAAGAAGCCCCGGCUAACUACGUGCCAGCAGCCGCGGUAA